Molecule: ribosomal RNA, 501 nt
Filed under: uncultured bacterium
Lineage: Bacteria
Description: partial 16S ribosomal RNA
Rfam family: Bacterial small subunit ribosomal RNA
Source: RNAcentral
UGGGGAAUAUUGCACAAUGGGCGCAAGCCUGAUGCAGCCAUGCCGCGUGUGUGAAGAAGGCCUUCGGUUGUAAAGCACUUUCAGCGAGGAGGAAGGUGGUGAGCUUAAUACGCUCAUCAAUUGACGUUACUCGCAGAAGAAGCACCGGCUAACUCCGUGCCAGCAGCCGCGGUAAUACGGAGGGUGCAAGCGUUAAUCGGAAUUACUGGGCGUAAAGCGCACGCAGGCGGUUUUGUUAAGUCAGAUGUGAAAUCCCCGGGCUCAACCUGGGAACUGCAUUUGAAACUGGCAAGCUAGAGUCUCGUAGAGGGGGGUAGAAUUCCAGGUGUAGCGGUGAAAUGCGUAGAGAUCUGGAGGAAUACCGGUGGCGAAGGCGGCCCCCUGGACGAAGACUGACGCUCAGGUGCGAAAGCGUGGGGAGCAAACAGAUUAGAUACCCUGGUAGUCCACGCUGUAAACGAUGUCGAUUUUGGAGGUUGUGCCCCUUGAGGCGUGGNUUCC